This 273-nucleotide ribosomal RNA is filed under the name Mycobacterium sp. 852013-50091_SCH5140682. RNAcentral describes it as "partial 16S ribosomal RNA". It matches the Rfam family "Bacterial small subunit ribosomal RNA", at positions 1 to 270 of the family's 1533-position model. Lineage: Bacteria; Bacillati; Actinomycetota; Actinomycetes; Mycobacteriales; Mycobacteriaceae. The record is from RNAcentral.
GGGGUUUUUGUUUGGAGAGUUUGAUCCUGGCUCAGGACGAACGCUGGCGGCGUGCUUAACACAUGCAAGUCGAACGGAAAGGCCCUUCGGGGUGCUCGAGUGGCGAACGGGUGAGUAACACGUGGGUGAUCUGCCCUGCACUUUGGGAUAAGCCUGGGAAACUGGGUCUAAUACCGAAUAUGACCGCAUGCUUCAUGGUGUGUGGUGGAAAGCUUUUGCGGUGUGGGAUGGGCCCGCGGCCUAUCAGCUUGUUGGUGGGGUAAUGGCCUACCA